RNAcentral lists this ribosomal RNA (842 nucleotides) under uncultured bacterium. Its description in RNAcentral is "bacterial SSU rRNA". It matches the Rfam family "Bacterial small subunit ribosomal RNA", at positions 8 to 879 of the family's 1533-position model. The record is from RNAcentral.
AGAGUUUGAUCAUGGCUCAGGAUGAACGCUGGUGGCGUGCCUAACACAUGCAAGUCGAGCGAUUUACUUCGGUAAAGAGCGGCGGACGGGUGAGUAACGCGUGGGUAACCUGCCUCAUACACAUGGAUAACAUACCGAAAGGUAUGCUAAUACAAGAUGAUAUAAGAGAUUCGCAUGGAUUUCUUAUCAAAGCUCCGGCGGUAUGAGAUGGACCCGCGUCUGAUUAGCUAGUUGGUAAGGUAACGGCUUACCAAGGCGACGAUCAGUAGCCGACCUGAGAGGGUGAUCGGCCACAUUGGAACUGAGACACGGUCCAAACUCCUACGGGAGGCAGCAGUGGGGAAUAUUGCACAAUGGGCGAAAGCCUGAUGCAGCAACGCCGCGUGAGCGAUGAAGGCCUUCGGGUCGUAAAGCUCUGUCCUCAAGGAAGAUAAUGACGGUACUUGAGGAGGAAGCCCCGGCUAACUACGUGCCAGCAGCCGCGGUAAUACGUAGGGGGCUAGCGUUAUCCGGAUUUACUGGGCGUAAAGGGUGCGUAGGUGGUUUCUUAAGUCAGGAGUGAAAGGCUACGGCUCAACUGUAGUAAGCUCUUGAAACUGGGAAACUUGAGUGCAGGAGAGGAAAGUGGAAUUCCUAGUGUAGCGGUGAAAUGCGUAGAUAUUAGGAGGAACACCAGUAGCGAAGGCGGCUUUCUGGACUGUAACUGACACUGAGGCACGAAAGCGUGGGGAGCAAACAGGAUUAGAUACCCUGGUAGUCCACGCCGUAAACGAUGAGUACUAGGUGUCGGGGGUUACCCCCCUCGGUGCCGCAGCUCACGCAUUAAGUACUCCGCCUGGGGA